AAAGCCAGGAAGCUGCGGGUGAUAUAGUAGGGACUGGGAUCAACUCCUAAGAAGGGAAAUACCAGUAAAUGGCUAAGUGAGAUUGUGGAAAGUUACAGAAGUAGAGUGAAUGUCUGUGAAAGGAUGAGACUGAAUGUGACCUGGCUGGAGAGCUGGAAUGAGAAGAAGCAGACUCCUGGACAAGGGGGCACUGGAGGAGGAGACUAUUGUGGUUUGCCCACCAACGAGGGGGUAUGCUAGCUGGAACACUUGAAUAACCUGGAUUUUACCAUCAAAAUUGGUAAUGAAAAGCAGAUCUCAAAGUUGCAUAU
Molecule: long non-coding RNA, 311 nt
Organism: Chelonia mydas (Green sea turtle)
Lineage: Eukaryota; Metazoa; Chordata; Testudines; Cheloniidae
Exons: 3
Source: RefSeq, a predicted model, not a curated record